CUGGCUCAGGAUGAACGCUAGCUACAGGCCUAACACAUGCAAGUCGAGGGGUAGCGUGAGGGAAGCUGCUCCCUGACGACGACCGGCGAAUGGGUGAGUCACGCGUGUCCAACCUGCCCCGUGCCCGGGGAUAGCCCUUGGAAAUGAGGAUUAAGACCCGAUAUGUGGCGCUUCCGCAUGGCGGCGCCAUGAAGCAGGCACGGGAUGGGGACGCGUCGGAUUAGCUUGACGGCGGGGCUGCGGCCCACCGUGGCGACGAUCCGCAGGGGUUCUGAGAGGAAGGUCCCCCACACUGGCACUGAGACACGGGCCAGACUCCUACGGGAGGCAGCAGUGAGGAAUAUUGGUCAAUGGGCGGGAGCCUGAACCAGCCAAAGUAGCGUGCAGGACGACGGCCCUACGGGUUGUAAACUGCUUUUCCGGGAGGAUAAAGUGAGCCACGCGUGGUUCAUUGCAGGUAUCCCGGGAAUAAGGACCGGCUAAUUCCGUGCCAGCAGCCGC
This 501-nucleotide ribosomal RNA is filed under the name uncultured bacterium. Its description in RNAcentral is "bacterial SSU rRNA". It matches the Rfam family "Bacterial small subunit ribosomal RNA", at positions 19 to 518 of the family's 1533-position model. The record is from RNAcentral.